Non-coding RNA from Acanthosepion pharaonis, 113 nucleotides. Lineage: Eukaryota; Metazoa; Mollusca; Cephalopoda; Sepiida; Sepiidae. The record is from the annotation of a GenBank genome assembly.
UUACAGCCAUAUCACGUUGAAACACUGAUUCUUGUGCAAUCACUGUAGUUAAGCAACUUUGAACCUGGUCAGUACCUAGAUGGGUGACUGCUUGGGAAUACCAAAUGCUGUAA